GAAUUAUUAAUAUCUUGCUUCUAACAAGAUGCUUCUCAUUAAUUUGAGAUAAUUCU
RNAcentral lists this transfer RNA (56 nucleotides) under Liposcelis entomophila. RNAcentral describes it as "tRNA-Ser". Lineage: Eukaryota; Metazoa; Arthropoda; Insecta; Psocodea; Liposcelididae. The record is from RNAcentral.